Molecule: long non-coding RNA, 231 nt
Filed under: Elaeis guineensis (African oil palm)
Lineage: Eukaryota; Viridiplantae; Streptophyta; Magnoliopsida; Arecales; Arecaceae
Description: long non-coding RNA (EGUI_LNC029727)
Source: RNAcentral
GGGUCAAGUCUGAUGCAAUGAUCACUGAGAGGGUGUUAUUAGGUCCUAGGAAUGCAUACUUGAGUGCAGCUAGAAGUGACUUUAAUUCUAGUGCAGGUGGUGAUUUUAAUGAUGGGACUGUGGGUGUAUUGACUAAUGCAGGCAAUGGCUCAUAUUUGAUUAUCUAAGGGGGAGUAGUUUCAGUAUUUGAUGUAUUAAAUAGAAUAUUUACUUCUUCACUACCUCCCUCCA